This 210-nucleotide unclassified non-coding RNA is filed under the name uncultured fungus. Its description in RNAcentral is "sequence contains ITS1". Lineage: Eukaryota; Fungi. The record is from RNAcentral.
UUAAACGAUUUAAAUGCCACUCAUACGAUACAGUUAAAGAAUUUAAUAAGGCUACUGGCGGGCACGGGCUAGAGAUAAGUAAACCUCCGGCGGCCCUUAAAAAAGGGCGGGCCCACCAAAGCAACAUGGAAUGAUAAACAAGGGGUUGGAAGUCUGGGCCAGAACGACCCUAACUCGAUAAUGAUCCUUCCGCAGGUUCACCUACGGAAA